This 497-nucleotide ribosomal RNA is filed under the name uncultured bacterium. RNAcentral describes it as "partial 16S ribosomal RNA". It matches the Rfam family "Bacterial small subunit ribosomal RNA", at positions 28 to 507 of the family's 1533-position model. The record is from RNAcentral.
GAUGAACGCUGGCGGCGUGCCUAAUACAUGCAAGUCGAGCGAACAGACGAGGAGCUUGCUCCUCUGACGUUAGCGGCGGACGGGUGAGUAACACGUGGAUAACCUACCUAUAAGACUGGGAUAACUUCGGGAAACCGGAGCUAAUACCGGAUAAUAUAUUGAACCGCAUGGUUCAAUAGUGAAAGACGGUUUUGCUGUCACUUAUAGAUGGAUCCGCGCCGCAUUAGCUAGUUGGUAAGGUAACGGCUUACCAAGGCAACGAUGCGUAGCCGACCUGAGAGGGUGAUCGGCCACACUGGAACUGAGACACGGUCCAGACCCCUACGGGAGGCAGCAGUAGGGAAUCUUCCGCAAAGGGCGAAAGCCUGACGGAGCAACGCCGCGUGAGUGAUGAAGGUCUUCGGAUCGUAAAACUCUGUUAUUAGGGAAGAACAAAUGUGUAAGUAACUAUGCACGUCUUGACGGUACCUAAUCAGAAAGCCACGGCUAACUACGUG